AGAGUUUGACUCUGGCUCAGGAUGAACGCUAGCUACAGGCUUAACACAUGCAAGUCGAGGGGAAACGACAUCGAAAGCUUGCUUUUGAUGGGCGUCGACCGGCGCACGGGUGAGUAACGCGUAUCCAACCUGCCCACCACUUGGGGAUAACCUUGCGAAAGUAAGACUAAUACCCAACGAUAUCUCUAGAAGACAUCUGAAAGAGAUUAAAGAUUUAUCGGUGAUGGAUGGGGAUGCGUCUGAUUAGCUUGUUGGCGGGGUAACGGCCCACCAAGGCAACGAUCAGUAGGGGUUCUGAGAGGAAGGUCCCCCACAUUGGAACUGAGACACGGUCCAAACUCCUACGGGAGGCAGCAGUGAGGAAUAUUGGUCAAUGGACGAGAGUCUGAACCAGCCAAGUAGCGUGCAGGAAGACGGCCCUAUGGGUUGUAAACUGCUUUUAUAAGGGAAUAAAGUGAGUCUCGUGAGACUUUUUGCAUGUACCUUAUGAAUAAGGACCGCUAAUUCCGUGCCAGCAGCCGCGGUAAUACGGAAGGUCCGGGCGUUAUCCGGAUUUAUUGGGUUUAAAGGGAGCGUAGGCCGGAGAUUAAGCGUGUUGUGAAAUGUAGAUGCUCAACAUCUGAACUGCAGCGCGAACUGGUUUCCUUGAGUACGCACAAAGUGGGCGGAAUUCGUGGUGUAGCGGUGAAAUGCUUAGAUAUCACGAAGAACUCCGAUUGCGAAGGCAGCUCACUGGAGCGCAACUGACGCUGAAGCUCGAAAGUGCGGGUAUCGAACAGGAUUAGAUACCCUGGUAGUCCGCACGGUAAAC
Molecule: ribosomal RNA, 811 nt
Filed under: uncultured bacterium
Lineage: Bacteria
Description: bacterial SSU rRNA
Rfam family: Bacterial small subunit ribosomal RNA
Source: RNAcentral